This 433-nucleotide ribosomal RNA is filed under the name uncultured bacterium. Its description in RNAcentral is "partial 16S ribosomal RNA". It matches the Rfam family "Bacterial small subunit ribosomal RNA", at positions 29 to 507 of the family's 1533-position model. The record is from RNAcentral.
AACGAACGCUGGCGGCAUGCCUAACACAUGCAAGUCGAACGAUGCCUUCGGGCAUAGUGGCGCACGGGUGCGUAACGCGUGGGAAUCUGCCUUUCGGUUCGGAAUAACUCAGGGAAACUUGAGCUAAUACCGGAUAACGUCGCAAGACCAAAGAUUUAUCACCGAAAGAUGAGCCCGCGUAGGAUUAGCUAGUUGGUGAGGUAAAGGCUCACCAAGGCGACGAUCCUUGGCUGGUCUGAGAGGAUGAUCAGCCACACUGGGACUGAGACACGGCCCAGACUCCUACGGGAGGCAGCAGUGGGGAAUAUUGGACAAUGGGCGAAAGCCUGAUCCAGCAAUGCCGCGUGAGUGAUGAAGGCCUUAGGGUUGUAAAGCUCUUUUACCCGGGAAGAUAAUGACGGUACCGGGAGAAUAAGCCCCGGCUAACUCCGUG